This 405-nucleotide ribosomal RNA is filed under the name uncultured bacterium. RNAcentral describes it as "partial 16S ribosomal RNA". It matches the Rfam family "Bacterial small subunit ribosomal RNA", at positions 28 to 526 of the family's 1533-position model. The record is from RNAcentral.
GAUGAACGCUGGCGGCGUGCCUAAUACAUGCAAGUCGAGCGAAGCGGGGGCGGGGGAGUAACACGUGGGUAACCUCCUAUAAGACUGGGAUAACCUCGGGAAACCGGAGCUUAAACGGAUACUUAGAGAUGGAUCCGCGGUGCAUUAGCUAGUUGGUAAGGUAACGGCUUACCAAGGCCACGAUGCAUAGCCGAUCUGAGAGGGUGAUCGGCCACACUGGGACUGAGACACGGUCCAGACUCCUACGGGAGGCAGCAGUAGGGAAUCUUCCGCAAUGGGCGAAAGCCUGACGCAGCCACGCCGCGUGAGUGAUGAAGGUCUUCGGAUCGUAAAACUCUGUUAUUAGGGAAGCGGUACCUACUCAGAAAGCAACGGCUAACUACGUGCCAGCAGCCGCGGUAAUAC